AGAUUGAACGCUGGCGGCAUGCUUUACACAUGCAAGUCGAACGGUAACAGGCCGCAAGGUGCUGACGAGUGGCGAACGGGUGAGUAAUGCAUCGGAACGUGCCCAGUCGUGGGGGAUAACGCAGCGAAAGCUGUGCUAAUACCGCAUACGAUCUAUGGAUGAAAGGCGGGGGACCGAAAGGCCUCGCGCGAUUGGAGCGGCCGAUGUCAGAUUAGCUAGGUUGGUAGGGGUAAACGCCCCACCGAAGGCGAACGAUCGUAGUAGCGUUCGGUACUGAGACGGACGACCCAGCCCACUACGUAGGAACU
RNAcentral lists this ribosomal RNA (308 nucleotides) under uncultured soil bacterium. RNAcentral's name for it is "bacterial SSU rRNA". It matches the Rfam family "Bacterial small subunit ribosomal RNA", at positions 26 to 320 of the family's 1533-position model. The record is from RNAcentral.